This 678-nucleotide ribosomal RNA is filed under the name uncultured soil bacterium. RNAcentral describes it as "bacterial SSU rRNA". It matches the Rfam family "Bacterial small subunit ribosomal RNA", at positions 36 to 761 of the family's 1533-position model. The record is from RNAcentral.
CUGGCGGCAUGCCUAACACUGCAAGUCGAACGAGACCUUCGGGUCUAGUGGCGCACGGGUGCGUAACGCGUGGGAAUCUGCCCUUAGGUUCGGAAUAACAGUUAGAAAUGACUGCUAAUACCGGAUAAUGUCUUCGGACCAAAGAUUUAUUGCCUAAGGAUGAGCCCGCGUAAGAUUAGCUUGUUGGUGAGGUAAAGGCUCACCAAGGCGACGAUCUUUAGCUGGUCUGAGAGGAUGAUCAGCCACACUGGGACUGAGACACGGCCCAGACUCCUACGGGAGGCAGCAGUGGGGAAUAUUGGACAAUGGGCGAAAGCCUGAUCCAGCAAUGCCGCGUGAGUGAUGAAGGCCUUAGGGUUGUAAAGCUCUUUUACCCGGGAUGAUAAUGACAGUACCGGGAGAAUAAGCCCCGGCUAACUCCGUGCCAGCAGCCGCGGUAAUACGGAGGGGGCUAGCGUUGUUCGGAAUUACUGGGCGUAAAGCGUACGUAGGCGGCUUUGUAAGUUUGUCGUGAAAUCCCCGGGCUCAACCUGGGAAUGGCGAUGAAGACUGCAAGGCUAGAGUUUGGCAGAGGGGGGUAGAAUUCCACGUGUAGCAGUGAAAUGCGUAGAGAUGUGGAGGAACACCGAUGGCGAAGGCAGCCCCCUGGGUCAAAACUGACGCUCAUGCACGAAAGCG